UGCUGUUCGCCUUGCGGAGGUUCAACCGGAAAAGGAGUCAAAGGCAUGGCAUUGCCUGAUUUUUCUAUGCGCCAGCUUCUGGAAGCUGGUGUUCACUUCGGCCACCAGACCCAUCGCUGGAACCCGAAGAUG
Molecule: small RNA, 132 nt
Filed under: Rhizobium gallicum
Lineage: Bacteria; Pseudomonadati; Pseudomonadota; Alphaproteobacteria; Hyphomicrobiales; Rhizobiaceae
Also listed under: 1 other name
Description: miscellaneous other RNA
Source: RNAcentral